UGGGGAAUAUUGGGCAAUGGAGGAAACUCUGACCCAGCAACGCCGCGUGAAUGAAGAAGGUCUUCGGAUUGUAAAGUUCUUUAAUGAGGGAAAAAGAAAGUGAUGGUACCUCAGGAAUAAGCCACGGCAAACUACGUGCCAGCAGCCGCGGUAAUACGUAGGUGGCAAGCGUUGUCCGGAAUGACUGGGCGUAAAGGGUGAGUAGGUGGUCUGUCAAGUUAGAAGUGAAAUGCCAAGGCUUAACCUUGGAACUACUUCUAAGACUGACGGACUUGAGUGCAGGAGAGGUAAAUGGAAUUCCUAGUGUAGCGGUGGAAUGCGUAGAUAUUAGGAGGAACACCAGAGGCGAAGGCGAUUUACUGGACUGUAACUGACACUGAGUCACGAAAGCGUGGGGAGCAAACA
RNAcentral lists this ribosomal RNA (405 nucleotides) under uncultured Bacillota bacterium. RNAcentral describes it as "uncultured Firmicutes bacterium partial 16S ribosomal RNA". It matches the Rfam family "Bacterial small subunit ribosomal RNA", at positions 355 to 774 of the family's 1533-position model. The record is from RNAcentral. Lineage: Bacteria; Bacillati; Bacillota.